ACGGGAGGCAGCAGUGAGGAAUAUUGGUCAAUGGACGAGAGUCUGAACCAGCCAAGUAGCGUGCAGGAUGACGGCCCUAUGGGUUGUAAACUGCUUUUGUACGGGAAUAAAGUGACCUACGUGUAGGUUUUUGCAUGUACCGUAAGAAUAAGGACCGGCUAAUUCCGUGCCAGCAGCCGCGGUAAUACGGAAGGUCCGGGCGUUAUCCGGAUUUAUUGGGUUUAAAGGGAGCGUAGGCCGUGCUUUAAGCGUGUUGUGAAAUGUAGGCGCCCAACGUCUGCACUGCAGCGCGAACUGGAGCACUUGAGUACGCAGGAAGUAGGCGGAAUUCGUCGUGUAGCGGUGAAAUGCUUAGAUAUGACGAAGAACACCGAUUGCGUAGGCAGCAGACCAGGCCGUAAAUGACGCUCAUGCACGAAAGUGCGGGGAUCGAACAGGAUUAGAUACCCUGGUA
RNAcentral lists this ribosomal RNA (454 nucleotides) under uncultured Prevotella sp. Its description in RNAcentral is "bacterial SSU rRNA". It matches the Rfam family "Bacterial small subunit ribosomal RNA", at positions 341 to 792 of the family's 1533-position model. Lineage: Bacteria; Pseudomonadati; Bacteroidota; Bacteroidia; Bacteroidales; Prevotellaceae. The record is from RNAcentral.